Equus caballus (horse) is the source of this 3450-nucleotide non-coding RNA. Lineage: Eukaryota; Metazoa; Chordata; Mammalia; Perissodactyla; Equidae. The record is from RefSeq and is a predicted model, not a curated record.
CUCUGGGAAGCCCACCAUCAUGAUGUGAGGAAGACCCUACAAACCCAUGUGCAGAGACUACUUGAGAGGCCCUCACGGAGAGGAAGGGAUGUGCCGAGCAGACAGCCAGCACCAACCACUGGGCAUGUGUGAGCAAGCCUUCAGGUGAUUCUGGCCUCCAGGCACCAAGCCUCUGCUAACACCAAGGGGAGCAGAGGGUACCCAUCCACACUAAACCCAGAGCAAAACGCAGAUUUGUGGACAAAAUCACUUUGGUUGUUGUUUUAAAUCACUCAGUUCUUUAGGAAUGGAACAAGCCCUCUUCAGCCAUGGCCACACCUUCUGUCCAUCCAUCUAACCAUCAUGCUCACCACCCUUGUCUGAUCCCUGAUGGUUUUGUCUCCUCCACUAGAAGCAAGGUAUCUCAUAUCAAUACCCCCAAGUCUCACAGAGAACGGGGCCUCCACAAAUAAUCAUCCUCAAUAAUGAGCUCCAAAGAGAGCCAAGGAAAUGAAGAUAGUGUUGGAUCUAUCAUCACAAGACUCAGGUUGCUGGGGCUCAGGGACCUGCUACUGGGUGAUCAACAUCUUCAACCACGCCACGUGUACCCGGCAGUUCCUGCUUUCUGCCCGAGGACUUGAUCAGAUGGCAGUGUGAGGCAUUCAGAGGGUUAUGCGAUAACGGCCACAAAACUUAGGAGACCCUUGGAGUUAGACGACAAAGAGGAAGCAUCAGCAGCUGUGACCUGGGCAGCCUUCCUGGGGACAUGUGGCCACUGCCACUCAUGGUGGCAUUUCUUCUGUCCCACAGGGGAGAGUCAGCUUUGUCACUCCCAUGCCACCCAGGAAAGAAGCUAAGGAUCCAGUUGAUCCCAGAGCUGGCAGCAUCCCAGUUCCCUUAACACUGAUGUUCAGCUGGUUCACUCUCAAGUUCUCUCUGGGAAAAUCAUCCGGGGCCAUGAGGCCAAUCCUUAUUCUUGUCACUAUCUGGCAUUUCGUCUGAUCCAGACUCCAGAGAAAAGAAAAAGCUGUGAGAGUUUCCUCAUGUGUGAGGACUUUGUGCUGACAGCAGCCGCUGGCUGCUGAGGAAGUUGAGGAACAGCAUGUGGCCCCACCCUUCUGGUGACACUUCAUAGAGAACUGCCUUCUCAGGAGCUGCAGAGCUGGGCCACCUAGUAACACAGAAGAGCCCUUCAGAGGACAACUUGAAGAGGAUGGCCAACCUGACUGACUCUGUGAGCCCCCUCAGGCUGCCCAGGAGGAGAGAGCUGGCAAAGUCAGGGACGGUGUGCAGUGUGGCUGACUGGGAGCACCUUGGUGGGAGCACUCCCUUCGCCAUAAAACUGUGGGAAGUAGAGCUUGAUAUCCAAAGGGAUGAGCAACGCAUCUCUCACUACAAAGACCAUUACAACAGCGUCACCCAGAUAUGUGUGGGGGACCCAACAAAGAGUAAGACUCUUUUUAAGAGUAAUCAAUGUCUCCCUUGGGGCCUAUAACAUCCAGAAGCAGGGGAAGACCCAGCAGGUCAUGACUGUGAGACAAGCCAUCCGCCACCCAGACUAUAAUCCUAAGAACCUCUCCUAUGACAUCAUGUUACUAAAGAUAAGGGAACCUCCCUGCUGCUCUUGCUGUCCUGGGUCCAGAUUUCUUCCCCUCCCACUGGAACCUCUCUCUUCCUUCCUUCCCAUCCCUGCCACCUGACUAGUCCCAAUGGUUCAGGGGAGAGGGAAGUCAGUGCAGCCCCAUCGCGGUGUCCAGGCCCAGGAGGCCAGUGGCUGAGCUGGACUUUCUUGCCUCUUCCCAUCAGCUGGAGAGACAGGCCAAGCAGACUACAGCUGUGAGGCCCCUCAGCCUGCCCAGGGGCAAGGCCCAGGUGAACCCAAGACAGGUGUGCAGUGUGGCCGGCUGGGGGAAAGUCUCCCCGGCAGACAGAGUGUCCGACACACUGCAGGAUGUGGAGCUGACUGUGCAGAAGGAUCAUGAUUGUUACUCCCACUUCACCCACCAUUACAACCAGGCCCCCCAGAUUUGUGUAGGGGACCCGAAGAUGAUGAACAACAGCUUCAAGGGGGACUCCAGAGGACCCCUCAUCUGCAACAAGCUGAUCCAGGGUAUCUUCUCCUAUGGACAAAACAACAGGACCCCUCCAGGAGUCUUCAUGAAGGUCUCACACUUUCUGCCCUGGAUAAAGUCAACAAUGAAGUGCUUCUAACAGCAGGCAGGAGUCUGACCUUCCUCUGUGCCUGACCAUCUUUUCUGGGGCAGAGGCAGGACUCCCAUGGGGCGGGCAGUGGGACUGAGGGGCCAUAAUAAACGGAUCUCUAGCGAGUGUGACUGAAGUCUCACGGACUCACUGAACCACUUUCAACACACAACAGCAUGCUCCAGGCAGCCCUCUGCUGUCAGUUGUGGCUGUCCUUCCUCCUUCCUCCUCCAGCCCUCCUUCCCCCUAAACCCCAUGCUGUAUCCUUUCUCGGUCACAGCUCUGUGGUGCUGAGCCCUGUGCAAGGGCUGAGUCUGAAGGCUGCCCAUUAUAAUAGGACAAACUUCUUCCCCAAAAUAUGUUCCUCCCUGGUCUUUAGAAAGUUCUUGCCUUCUCUAACCCAACCACCAUCACCAACACCCUGACAAUUUGGCAGAGAGAGGAGCAGGUCAGUGGAAGGGGAAUAACUCCAGGGAGACAGGAGGCCAGGGGGCCAGGCCGUGGGCACUGAGUUUCCUGUUUCCAGGGCUUCUGUCUCCAGUGGGGCAGCUUCUCCUACAGCCAGGACCAUCUUCAGCUUCUGACGCUCAGAUGCUGCCAUGAUGGCCUCCAGCCUCACUCUGGUCCCAUUUCCUGCCCUACCCCGGGCACAGAACUGAGCUCGCUCAACCUUCAUCCCUGGCUGACUAUCCCACACCAACCUCUAUUUUCCUUCUGACUGCCCUGUCUACCAGCUCCUUUCCCUUCCAGCCCACCGUGUUUUGAGCCAGCUUCUCUCUCAUCUCCCUAACCGAGUUCCCAAAGUCCCAUGUGAAUUCCCCUCUAUGGCUUGUCCCUGUCAUGCCUGAGCUGCCGGCCCACCUGAUGCCUAUCAGAGGACCCAGUACGCACUUCCCACCUGAACAGAGACAGUUCAGGUCCUCCAUCCAGCCUAGCAUUCCCAGGGCCAUAUCCACAAUGUCCUGUGAAGUCACUCAGCAGCCUUAGCCCCUUUCAGCCUGGCCGGUCUCCCCCUGCUGGCAACCUGGUUUACGGCAGCUCAGUGUGCCUGAGGGCUCCAGGGCUGCUGGGCCAGAAAGUACCACUUGGCUGUCCAUCAGUAAGUCAACUAUGAUCUCUUGCUUUGUGCCUGACACAUAAGAGGCUGUGUCCCUGAUACUCGGAAACUUAGAUGGAGGGCAAUUUCCUCUACAUUCUCUUAGUUCCUCCCCUUCCCCCAGGCAGGUCAGUUUGGCAGAUAGAUUGGUAUUUGGAAACCACAAGACAUUU